Long non-coding RNA from Callithrix jacchus (white-tufted-ear marmoset), 4414 nucleotides. RefSeq lists it as uncharacterized. The record is from RefSeq and is a predicted model, not a curated record. Lineage: Eukaryota; Metazoa; Chordata; Mammalia; Primates; Cebidae.
CAUAAAUCAAAUAAAAACUAAAUUAUAUUUAAAAAGGGAAAUAGGACUAAGAAGGCUGCUUUGGGGUGGAACGGAGGCCCUGAGAGUUGGAUGUCACAGAGGCAAAGAUGAACAAACAAUGGGUACUACCUGGUUGAUGGGUGGACUGUAUCAGGACCAGAAGUACUUCUGGGAAUAGCUUAUCCAGUCCCCUGUUUUCCAGGUCAGAGGAUUGAAGUUCAGAGGGGACGACUACCCUCUGGUCAUACAGUGAGAGGCAGAGCUGGCUCCAGACCCAGGCCCCGGGCCUUCCCAGGGCCCACUGGUACUCCCCCUUUACCAACUGGCCUCAAAUCAAUUAGAAACAACAGCUGAACUGAAGUGAAUUCAAGAGGAAACCCAAGGAAGAGGUUUUAGAUUUUUAUGUUGUCAAAUGUAUCACUCUUUUAGUUUACAGUUUCUGUGUUUCAUGUUAUGCUUUAAAAUCCUAAACAAAUAUGUCUGUUUCCAGCCAAGGAGUCAACCAGAAUAGUUUCUAGAGCUCUCGCAGAGCUGAGAAUUAUUCAUGUUUUCCACAACUAAAGUGGAAAGACCUCCUAACAUGCAGGAUACUGAGUAGGAUUCUCAGAAGGGUGUUGCCUUGCUAGUGAGGCCAAAUUCACCCUACCCUAAAGGCUGCUCUGUCAGUCUCAAAAGGAUGCAGUUGAUUCAUGCUCCGGAACAAAGUCCACUGGUAUUUAAAAGAAUACAAUAAAAUCCAGCAAUCAACAAGUUAAAAUUUACAAUACCCAGCACCAAGUGCUCCCUUCGGCAGUAAGCAUCGAAGUAGGAAAAUGUGGGUUACAACCAGAUGGAAAACUAAUUAGUGGAAACAAACCAACAAAUGGUAGAAAUUAUGGAAUUAGAAGACAAGAACCUUAAAACAGUUAUCAUGAUUCACAGGUUCAAGAGGGUGGAGGAAAAUGUGACCAGGAUGAGGAGCGAAAUGGAAGUUUGUAAAAUUUAAGAUCCAAAUGGAAUUUCUGGAAAUGAAAAAUGUAAUAUCUGAAAUGAAACACAUAUACACUGAUGGUAGUAAUAUGAGAUUAGAUUCUGAAGAAGGAAAAAUCAGUGAACUUGAAACUGUAGCCUUAGAAACUACCCACAAUGAUAUAUGCUUACCAUAGAAAAAUCAUACUACUAGGCCAAGAGAAAUAAAAUCAUGUUCACAAGAAGACUUGAAUAUUCAUAGCUUUGUUCACAAAAAUGAAGAACUAAAAACAAGCUAAACAUCUGUGAACUGAUGAAGAGAUAAGAUGUGAUAUAUCCAUUCCUUUUAUUACUCAGCAGUAGAAGGAAUCAACUACUGAUACUUGCAACGACUGCUGGGCAGGACUCUGGGCUGCUCACCACCCCUGGGAAGGGAGCAAGGGUGUGACCAAGGUGUCUAUGGAAUGGGGCUCCAGGAGAGGGCCCACCACAGCUCUCAUGGUUGCACGUUGACUUCCCAGCUGACACUAUUGUCGGGUAUACAAAGGAGAGCCUGGCCUCAUACCACUCACUGCACUUCGCUCAGCACCAUCAACACAGACUCUCAGAGAGGAAGAAGGACCCUGCUACCGUCCACAGCACCUUGGGGGCUUUUUCCAGGUGUCUCCUCCCUACUGCUCCUACCCCGAGUCAGUCUUGGGGUUUCCAGGGAGCGGGAAGCACACAGCACAAGGACAGAAUGAGUGAAGCAGAUGAAAGCCACUUGUAUAGCCCUUGGCACUGUAGGUGCUCAGCACUGAACGGGCAGAGGCUGGGAGGCAGAGAGAGAACCACACCAUGCACCCAGCUCCCCACCUCCCAGGCCAGGGCUCCGCUUUCUGUUGGGCCCUGUGUGCAUUGCUAAUGUCAGCAUUUGCCCAGUGGUGGACUGUGGAUAUCACCUCAAACAUACCUCUGACCCUAGAUCCAACUGCUUCACUUUCCAAUAGCUGCUCGACAGAUGAGGGACCUGCUGACAGGCAGGUCAGAGUGAGCUGAACAACUCCCAGGCACAAAGGACAAAAGCAUCCGAAACGUGGAGGGACUCACUGGAGGUCCCCGGCAGCUGGCUGAAUUGUCUGGCUCUACACGGUGGGGAAACUGAGAAAGGAAGCUGUCUCCUUUUGAGUCUGGACACUGGAACUUUCCUGGCCCCCAAAUCAUCUUUUUUCUUUUUCUUUCUUUUUAAACUUAUUUUUUACUUUAAGUACUGGGAUACCUGUGCUGAACGUGCAGGUUACAUAGGUAUACAUGUGCCAUGGUGGUUUGCUGUACCCAUCAACCCAUCAUCUAGCUUUUAAGCCCCACAUGCAUUAAGUAUUUGUCCUAAUGUUCUCCCUCCCCUUCUCCCCAGGCCCCUGACAGGCCCCUCCCUGUGUCCGUGUGUUCUCAUUGUUCAAUUCCCACUUAUGAGUGAGAACAUGCAGUGUUUGGUUUUCUGUUCCUGUGUUAGUUUGCUGAGGAUGAUGGUUUUCAGCUUCAUCUAUGUUUGUGCAAAGGACCUGAACUCAUUCUUUUUUAUGGUUGCAUAGUAUUCCAUGGUGUACGUGUGCCACAUUUUCUUUAUCCAGGAUUAUAAGUCAUUCUACUAUAAGGACACAUGUAUAUAUAUGUUGACUGCAGCCCUUUUGGUUUUUCAGUCAGCCUGCCAGAGGCUGGUUCACAGAUUGUGGAAGCAGAGAGUGACCUUCAUCUUAUCUAGUCCAACUCUCUUAUUUUGGAAGCUAAGUCUUGGAAUGAGGAAGAGAUUUGGCUUCAAAUGUCAGCUAGCCAAAGACUGGUCCUAAGAUAAUUGAAAUAUAAAUAAUGCAAUGAUCAUCUGCCCACCCAGCAUUCCCUCACGCAGCACCAAGCUCUAGCUUUUGAUGAAGAAGCCAAGACCCAGAGAGGUGGCAUCAUUUACCCUGAUGGUAUCAUAUGACUAGCACAAUUCAGGAAACCAAGGGCUAUUGUGAUAACCUUUUUCUCCAUCUUUCCCUUCCUUCUUUCCUUCUCUCCCUUCCCUUCCCUUCCCUUUCCAUCUCUUCCUUCCUUCUCCAUUUUCCUUCCCUCCCUCCAACCUUCUUUCUCUCUCUUCCUUUCUUUCUCUUCUUCCUUCCUUCUUUCCUUUCUUUAUUUACAAAGAAAAGGUGUUUUUUUUCCAUCCCACAAGUUGGAAGAAAAAAAGUUUAACAUUUCAAAAACAUUCAUACUCAAGAAUUGUUGAAGACAUCUGGACCUUUUAAAAAGUUAUUGCAAUUUUAAUAAAUAGGAUAUAUUUUAAAAUAUGUGAAAAUGACAUUCCAUUUAGUUAAGAUCAGUAACUUGUUAAAUUGCCUUUAAGAUCAUUUCCCUAUUAUGAUAUUUUUAACCAAGGUAAAUUUCUAAGGGUUUGGUUAUAUUAUUUCCACAUGGUUCUCCAUAAUCACAUAUAUUUGAUGCUUUCUAAGGCCUUCAUAAAUAUCACUGAAAAUAUUUGUUCCUUUUUGUAUUCUAACUGUAGCCCAUAUUCAGCAGACAUGUACAAACACACAUUUAAGGAAGAGGAUGAGGAGUGAGGAAACUAAGACCCUAAUGUCACACAGCGGAGCUGAAACAAUUCCAGGACUGAGGAUGCGCCAGACCUCAUCCAGGUGUGCAGGUAGGAAGGUAUGUCUGGCCACCACUCCAAGAGGCUUGCAAACUGAAUAAAGGAAGGAAGCAGCUAUCCCAGGUGCUGUGAACCUGUCAAGAACGGUGAGGAGUUAGAAAGCCGAGGCAAGUCAGUUCCACUGAUGGCAGCAGGAGGGUGGCCAGGAGGAAACACUCAGAGGUCCAUGCAGGAGAUUUGCCAGAACCUUAAAACAAGUAGGCAUCGGAAAAGGGCAAUGCAGGCAGCAGGAGCCACAUGAUGGAAGGCUUGGUGGCACUGAAGAAUGUCAUGUGUCUCCUGUACAGGACAGGUGCCUAAGAUACAGGGACAGGGGAAGGGAUGAGGCAUGGGGAGACUGAGACACUGAUAUUACAUACCUGAGCUGACACUCAAUUCCAGCACUCAGAUCCCCUGGCCAUUCUGUUUCUUUAGCAAACCAAAAUGUCCUGAUCAGUCUGCACCCUAUUUCCCUGUAAUCUGCACCCACAGGGGUCUCUAAGGAGCAGAUGGUUAGGAUGGGUCAUUACUGAAUCCCUGCCUGACCUAGCAGGUCCAUUGCCAACCACCAGGCUCCCAGUCAAUGAGCAUGUCCCUACUACUCCCCUUGCUUCAGAAUAGUGCAAGACUAUUUUCAAAACCUGUCAGCUCUGACAGUCUCAGCUCCAGGAUUCAGAAGUCAAUGCAAGCCGGGUGCUAUGGCUUAUGCCUGUAAUUCCAGCACUUUGGGAGGCUGAGGUGGGCAGAUCCCUUGGAAAAGGAGGUUGAGACCAGCUUCAACAACAUGGAAAAAACUUGUCUCUAUUAAAUUAAACAUAA